Transfer RNA from Camelus ferus (Wild Bactrian camel), 72 nucleotides. It matches the Rfam family "tRNA". From Rfam's summary of the family: Transfer RNA (tRNA) molecules are approximately 80 nucleotides in length. Their secondary structure includes four short double-helical elements and three loops (D, anti-codon, and T loops). The record is from Rfam. Lineage: Eukaryota; Metazoa; Chordata; Mammalia; Artiodactyla; Camelidae.
GGGUGUAUAGCUCAGUGCUAGAGUGCCUGCUUAGCACGCCUAAGGUCCUGGGUUCAAUCCCCAGUACCUCCA